UGAGAAUAAAUAAUAUUGUUUGUUCUGGUUCUUCUCUGGGAGAUUCUGCAUUGUUUUGCCAUUCACUUUCUGAAGAAAAUCUCUAUGGCACAUCCUGGCUCUUCUAAGGGCCGGCUUAAUACGGGAAGCCAAGUUUGCUUUGUUCAUCUGCAGCAGAGUUAAGAUUCUAUACAAUAAAUAUUCCCACAAUACCAAUAAUAACUUGCAUUAGAAAACUUCAUGUAGUGAUCUUUCCCUCAAGCACAUAGAAACAUACCCUUAGAACAUGACUGAUCUCGAAGGAGAUCAUACAUUUGUUGGUCAUGAGUUGUUUUGCUUGGAAAAGACAAAGGCAAAAGAGAGCCAAACAUACCCUCACUCUUAAGUAUGAGUUCUUCAUCCCAAAAAAAGAGAGAUAUUCUUCGGCGUACGUCCUUAGGCAAUGAGGAACCUUUAUAAAACUUAACAGUUUCUUCUUCUGUGCGUGUUCCCAAAGAAAGAAUAGACAUAACAAAAGAGAUUGUUAAGGCAAAAAAGUUGUAUUCACCUGAUGACCCAACUUGAGCCUGACACUCACUAAGAUCCCUUUAUAAAUUCCAAUAACAUCACCCUUACGGCAACAAAGAAGGCGUAUUUCUCUUUAUCAGCAACAGGAACAACGGUUGACAUAUAUUUGAUUUAGCAGUCUGUAUUUGAUCUCGAGGAAUAGCUAUGAGCCAUAUAGAGUCUAAGUGGACUCACCACCACACUUGCUUGGUUUAGACGGGUUUUGAAGGCAUGUAGAAGCAUUGACUCCAUGGGGAUUUUGGAACUGACGUAGCUAGAUGUAA
RNAcentral lists this long non-coding RNA (809 nucleotides) under Brassica rapa (field mustard). RNAcentral's name for it is "long non-coding RNA (BRAP_LNC006126)". Lineage: Eukaryota; Viridiplantae; Streptophyta; Magnoliopsida; Brassicales; Brassicaceae. The record is from RNAcentral.